CAAAGAAUAAGUGCACUUGAGUAUUACAAUGGCUGGGUGAGGCCGGUAUAAAUGUCUAUUCUGCACAAGGUACAUACAAGUAGGAUCCAUGCCUGGUUGGCCACCCAGUAAUCAGCACAAGUUAGAAUGUGGGCAACUCAGCAAUCGUUGCGCAGGCAUUUUGGUGACUCUAGAUAACCUCGGGCCGAUCGCACGCCCCCGUGAUGGCGACGACGCAUUCGGAUGUCUGCCCUAUCAACUUUCGAUGGUACUUUCUGCGCUUACCAUGGUGACCACGGGUAACGUGGAAUCAGGGUUCGAUUCCAUUGAGGCAGCCUGCGAAAUGGCUACCACAUCCAAGGAAGGCAGCAGGCACGCAAAUUACCCACUGCCGAUUCGGGGAGGUAGUGGCG
Non-coding RNA from Pelobates cultripes (western spadefoot toad), 392 nucleotides. Lineage: Eukaryota; Metazoa; Chordata; Amphibia; Anura; Pelobatidae. The record is from the annotation of a GenBank genome assembly.